GGGGGGAUCUUCGGACCUCUCGCCAUUUGAUUAGCCCAAGUGAGAUUAGCUAGUUGGUAAGGUAAAGGCUUACCAAGGCGACGAUCUCUAGCUGGUUUGAGAGGAUGAUCAGCCACACUGGGACUGAGACACGGCCCAGACUCCUACGGGAGGCAGCAGUGGGGAAUAUUGGACAAUGGGCGCAAGCCUGAUCCAGCAAUGCCGCGUGUGUGAAGAAGGGCUUCGGGUUGUAAAGCACUUUCAGCGAGGUGGAAAGGAGUAUGUUUAAUAA
This 271-nucleotide ribosomal RNA is filed under the name uncultured Gammaproteobacteria bacterium. RNAcentral describes it as "partial 16S ribosomal RNA". It matches the Rfam family "Bacterial small subunit ribosomal RNA", at positions 202 to 465 of the family's 1533-position model. Lineage: Bacteria; Pseudomonadati; Pseudomonadota; Gammaproteobacteria. The record is from RNAcentral.